Molecule: ribosomal RNA, 506 nt
Filed under: uncultured bacterium
Lineage: Bacteria
Description: partial 16S ribosomal RNA
Rfam family: Bacterial small subunit ribosomal RNA
Source: RNAcentral
AUUGAACGCUAGCGGCAUGCCUAACACAUGCAAGUCGAACGGCAGCAUGGUGCAGUUUACUGUACUGAUGGCGAGUGGCGGACGGGUGAGUAACGCGUAGGAAUACACCUUUAGGACUGGGACAACUUGUGGAAACGCGAGCUAAUACCGGAUAAUAUCUGAGGAUAAAAGCUGGGGACCUUAGGGCCUGGCGUCUAGAGAAUAGCCUGCGUCUGAUUAGCUAGUUGGUGGGGUAAGGGCCUACCAAGGCGACGAUCGGUAGCUGGUCUGAGAGGAUGGACAGCCACACUGGGACUGAGACACGGCCCAGACUCCUACGGGAGGCAGUAGUGGGGAAUUUUGGACAAUGGGCGCAAGCCUGAUCCAGCCAUGCCGCGUGCAGGAUGAAGGCCUUCGGGUUGUAAACUGCUUUUGUACGGAACGAAAAGACUCUGGUUAAUACCUGGGGUCCAUGACGGUACCGUAAGAAUGAGCACCGGCUAACUACGUGCCAGCAGCCGCGGUAA